UAACCUCCCUAAAACACCAGCUCAGUUAAAUUUCCUUUCAGAAAAAGUGCUAUACUUGAACGGAGAAAAUUUUCUGGUAAAAAAGUUGAAAAAAAUAAAAAAUAAACAUCAUUAUAAAACCAAUACAUUCCUCGCUCUGCUCAGAAUCUAGAAUAAUAAGACAAUGGAGGUUCAGCCUUCAAUAUAUCCCUGUGUACAUAUCCUUAGUAUACAGACCUAUUAGAUUAUUUUUUGUUUUGCUGUACACAAAUGUUCUGUACAUUAUAUAGUUUGUUCGUACGACAAAAAUGCAGUUGUAAAAUAAAACAUUUUUUUAACUUACCUAACCUAUCACCUUAAUGUAGUUACUAAAUUUACAUUUUCUAUAUAUAUUUCGUAAUAUACAAUCUUAUAAACAAUUAUUUUAUUUAACUUUUUUUUUUUACAUUUACGUCAUACUAUUUCCCAGUUAAACAAUAUAAUAGUAUUCCCGCAUAUAUACGUACUGUUGCGGACAACGGUUAUUUAGAUUUCUCUGUACAAUCGAUUUUAGACGAAACAAUCUAGUAAAAUUAUUUUUGUUAAUAAUGAAAGCGUACGUACGUCAUUUGACUUGUAUAAAUACGCGAUAAGAACGGUUUAAAA
Molecule: non-coding RNA, 624 nt
Organism: Cinara cedri
Lineage: Eukaryota; Metazoa; Arthropoda; Insecta; Hemiptera; Aphididae
Source: the annotation of a GenBank genome assembly